GCAAGUCGAACGCGAAAGUACCUUCGGGUGCGAGUAGAGUGGCGGACGGGUGAGUAACGCGUAGGAAUCUGCCUAGUAGUGGGGGACAACCAGAAGAAAUUCUGGCUAAUACCGCAUACACCCUACGGGGAAAAGAGGGCCUCUUCUUGAAAGCUCUUGCUAUUAGAUGAGCCUGCGUCGGAUUAGCUAGUUGGUGGGGUAAUGGCCCACCAAGGCGACGAUCCGUAGCUGGUCUGAGAGGAUGAUC
RNAcentral lists this ribosomal RNA (247 nucleotides) under uncultured bacterium. RNAcentral describes it as "partial 16S ribosomal RNA". It matches the Rfam family "Bacterial small subunit ribosomal RNA", at positions 57 to 305 of the family's 1533-position model. The record is from RNAcentral.